AUGGUGUCUCGUGUAAACGGAAUUUGGUCAGCUCUUCUCAAUGGGUAAUCUUUAUGCGAAAUACACAGGAAGCUGACCUAGCGCCCAACCGUGAUCGCUUCCACUCAAUUACACCUCGGCGUCUGUAUCCCUCUCAAUCCUUGGCCAGUUACUGUACGAGCCAAAUACACUCUGCAUUUUAGGGGCUCUUAACUUCUGAUGCCUCCCUCGGUCUCCGCCGCCACGCCCUCCGACGAUGACGAGGAUCGCGGUGCACCCGCUGAAAUUUCAGAUGCCGAUGGCGACGAAAAAGAAGAACCGGAAUAUGAAGAAGUGGAAGAAGAUGGUGAUGUUGAAGAAUACGAAGAAUAUGUUGAAGAAGUUGAAGAGGUUGAAGAAGAAGAAGACGAAGAACUAGAGGAAGUGGAAGAAGAAGAAGAAGAAGAAGAAGAAGAAGAAGAAGAAGUAGUAGUAGUGGAAGUGAAGGAGAAAAAGGUGGAUCAGAAGGACGAGGUGAAUGCGUCAGAUUCUUCAAUUGAAGUCGAUGAGGAUCCUAACGAUGUUAGUCGAGAUAUGGAGUUUGAGGGGCAUGACAGGCUACUGAGAUCGAGUUCUUAUACCCUAGAAAAAUCUGAAGUGAAGAUCUCACCUGAGUACAUUGCUAUAGAGGAAAGUAAUGGUAAUUCCAAAUUUUCUAGUCAUUCAAAUGAGCCAUUGACAACACAAAAGGAAGAACUGGAUUUGAACUAUGCGGAUUCAAAAUAUAUAGAAUUGGGAAAAGAUAUGGUUCCAGAAGACAAGGUCUUUAAAGAUUGUAGUGAAUCACAUUGUGAUAGCAAGGCUUUUUCAUGCACUGAGGACAUUAUCGAUGCUGAAACCCACCUUUUUAGCAGCACAAGAAAUGAUAUGGCUAAUGCUUUCCCAAUGAAAGAUCACUUAGGUGAGGAGGCCAAUGGUGUUUUGAAUACUAGGGAAGAAAUUAAGCAAAUGGACUUGCAAUCAGGGCAUGACAAAAAUCAAAUGGAAUCAAGGUUUUUCAGAUUGGCUACUCCAGAUACAAGGACUAGAAGUCUGUCCCCUGGUGCUGAGAUUAAGGAAGGAAACGUACGCCCGUCUGUUAUUUGUGACUUUUUUGCACAAGGGUGGUGCAUCAGAGGUAGUUCAUGUAGGUUUCUUCAUAUAAAAGGUAACUUGAAUAAUACCACCCAAAAGUCCGAGGUAGAAGCAGAUGCUGUGAAUUGGAAAAAAGUUCAGGUGGACAAAGGUUUGAGGGACAUUACAGAGAGAUCAAGGUCGCCUGGUUUUCCUGAGCCACAGGAAUCUUCAGUUGGAAAUACCCUGGAUUUUUCUUUACACUUCUCUUCAGAAACAAUCCUGCCAAGGGAGUUUGGAGAAAGCCAAAGGUGGCAUCAGUUUCAUAAAAAACAUAAACUUCCAUUGGUUGAGAAAGAGGACUUGUCUUCGUGCAUUAAUCCCGACUCCCAGCAUUUGCCUUCGUCUAAAGACGAUCCGGUCUCUGUCUUGUUUAAGGAUGCAGGGGGAGAGAGUCGGACAGAAAACUGGCCUGCAAAUAAUUAUGGUGACCAUGCUUCGUCAAACAGUAGAGGUAGUUCGGUAGUAAAGAACAACUUGCUUCCCAAGUAUGGAUUUUCUUCAAGUAGCCCUGUUCUUUUGUCACGCAAUUACCACAGUGAGAUCUUCUCUUCUCAUUCUCUACAGAGCCAGCAUGUGCAGAGUGACUGUAAUUCACCACUUAGGAUCCAUUCUCUGAAUUCAAGCUCAGAUACUUUUCUUCCGAGUACUGGCAUGCUGCCAUCUCACCGUAUCUCUUCCUGGGGAGCAUCUUCGUUGCCCUUUAGUUAUUCCUCUUUCAGUACAAGUUCUCUUGGUGCUCAAAGGCUGUUGAAGAGUGAGAAAGAAUGCCAUGCUUCUGGAUCAUCUUCCUUGCUGAUUAGUUAUUCUCCCUUCUCUGGUUCUAAAUCAGAAAAUCUACCUCUAGCCAAUGUACCAUUGCACUGUGCUGAACAUAAAACAAAAUUUUCUUCAAAUGAUUGGGAGCCUUCUGUACCUUUCCGACCAUCUUUUUUUAUUCCUCCGAUUGGUAUAUCAUCUCCAGAUCGCCAAUAUGAUCCUCUUCAUGAUAGCAUUGAGCUACCCAAGAUAGUAGAUCAAUCCUUUAGAGUUUCUCUUGACAGUCAUGGGGCAUCCAUGGACACAUUGCUCCAGAGGAAAUAUGGUAAUCCUGCAUUAACUGCGAUGCAGGGCCUAGAAUGUCACAAUGAUACAACUUCUGUAUCUUCUCAUAAUAAAGUUUAUGAGAAUGUGUUAGAAAAACACCAUCAUGGAAGAGAUUCUCUUAAAACUGAAGCAGAGACAGUUGGAACUUCUGCUGUUGACCGGAAAAAUGGGAUGAUGCCUAAAGAAGGGAAUCCCUUGGGCUUUUCUCAUGUCAAUGAUAGGACAAAAAGGAGCAAGCUCAAUGAUGAUCAUGCUUUAAGUCAUCAAAAUGAUGCAUCAGGACAUCAGGACUUAAAAGUAAGUAGGGGCGGACAAGACAAUGAAAUGGAUGUUGGGCAUAAGACAGAUGGAAAUAUUCACGGUGAACCAAAAGCACUGAGACAUUUUCGUGCUGCCCUUAUAGAUUUAGUUAAAGAGUUAUUGAAACCAAAUUGGCGUGAUGGCCAUCUCAGCAAGGAUGCACAUAACAUGAUAGUAAAAAAAGUGGUAGACAAGGUUCUUAAAACCUUACAAUCCCAUCAAGUUCCAACCACCUUGGAAUCAGUGAAGCAAUAUCUCUCUUCAUCACGUCCAAAAAUUGUUAAACUUGUUGAGGGAUAUGUUGAGAAAUACGGCAAAUCUUUAAGGCUCUAGGCUGAGUGCUUUUUUUGUACAGUAUCAGCUUUUGCAGUUGGUGUAACUGCACAACAUUACCUGCAAGGGUAGAGAAAUGACUGGAAUAGUUUCUGGUCAAACCAAGAGCUUUCUGCAGUGUGCUUCUUAUUUCCCCAGUUUCUCACUUUGUGAUUUGGUUUAUCAGAGAUGUUCAUGCCUCGGAUCUUGUCACCUGAUCUGCUGCUGUUGCGAUGGGUUGCUGCUGGUAACAAGCCUUGGGCCGACUGAGCUGUCACAUGAUUCACAUCAGAUUCAUCGUGACCAUUGGAAAGCAACGGAUCAGCUGGGAAAUAUUUGAUUGAAUCAGUAACAGCCAAGUCUUGUCUAGUGCGCCAAAAUUCAAAUUUCUGGGUCUUUUUUAUUCGGUUGGCACUGAUGGUAUGAGGUGAUUUAGAUUGCUGAUCUUGAACACAUACGAGGCCAGCAAAGGAGAGUGAGUGCCGAAUUGUUGUCUGCUGCGGCAUCCACGGAAAUCUUGUUUUGCAGGUGAGUUGCCAUUGAUUCUGCGACACACUUGGUUUGCUAGAGUUAGGGCAUAUCAUAGCACUGGAUGAUGGGAAAUUUGGAAGGUAAAAAGUAAACCACAUUCAAAUUGCCCUGUCCUAGUCAUUACAAGCAUCUUGAAUUGCGUUCAUCUUUUUGGCGGACAUACCAAAGAAUGGUGGCGUAGUUUUAUGUUGAGCCUGUUACUUAUUAUUCUAAAAAACUAAGCUUAGUAUGUUUUAAAUUCGUACUU
Molecule: RNA transcript, 3607 nt
Organism: Juglans microcarpa x Juglans regia
Lineage: Eukaryota; Viridiplantae; Streptophyta; Magnoliopsida; Fagales; Juglandaceae
Gene name: zinc finger CCCH domain-containing protein 36-like
Exons: 8
Source: RefSeq, a predicted model, not a curated record